CCCAGACUCCUACGGGAGGCAGCAGUGGGGAAUAUUGCACAAUGGGCGCAAGCCUGAUGCAGCCAUGCCGCGUGUAUGAAGAAGGCCUUCGGGUUGUAAAGUACUUUCAGUCGGGAGGAAGGUGGUAAGGUUAAUAACCUUAUCAAUUGACGUUACCGACAGAAGAAGCACCGGCUAACUCUGUGCCAGCAGCCGCGGUAAUACGGAGGGUGCAAGCGUUAAUCGGAAUUACUGGGCGUAAAGGGUGUGCAGGCGGCUGAGUAAGACAGAUGUGAAAUCCCCGGGCUUAACCUGGGAACCGCAUAUGUGACUGCUUGGCUAGAGUGCGUCAGAGGGAGGUGGAAUUCCACGUGUAGCAGUGAAAUGCGUAGAUAUGUGGAAGAACACCGAUGGCGAAGGCGGCCCCCUGGACAAAGACUGACGCUCAGGUGCGAACGCGUGGGGAGCAAACAGGAUUAGAUACCCGCGUAU
Molecule: ribosomal RNA, 471 nt
Filed under: uncultured bacterium
Lineage: Bacteria
Description: bacterial SSU rRNA
Rfam family: Bacterial small subunit ribosomal RNA
Source: RNAcentral